This 468-nucleotide ribosomal RNA is filed under the name uncultured bacterium. Its description in RNAcentral is "partial 16S ribosomal RNA". It matches the Rfam family "Bacterial small subunit ribosomal RNA", at positions 28 to 507 of the family's 1533-position model. The record is from RNAcentral.
GACGAACGCUGGCGGCGUGCUUAACACAUGCAAGUCGAACGGAAAGGCCCUGCUUUUGUUGGGUGCUCGAGUGGCGAACGGGUGAGUAACACGUGAGUAUCCUGCCCUUGACUUUGGGAUAACUUCAGGAAACAGGGGCUAAUACCGGAUAUGAGCUCCUGCUGCAUGGUGGUGGUUGGAAAGUUUCGGCGGUUUGGGAUGGACUCGCGGCUUAUGAGCUUGUUGGUGGGGUAGUGGCUUACCAAGGCUUUCACGGGUACCCGGCCUGAGAGGGUGACCGGCCACAUUGGGACUGAGGUACGGCCCAGACUCCUACGGGAGGCAGCAGUGGGGAAUAUUGCAGAAUGGGCGGAAGCCGGAUGCAGCAACGCCGCGUGCGGGAUGACGGCCUUCGGGUUGUAAACCGCUUUCGCCUGUGACGAAGCGUGAGUGACGGUAAUGGGUAAAGAAGCACCGGCUAACUACGUG